Molecule: long non-coding RNA, 734 nt
Organism: Bubalus bubalis (water buffalo)
Lineage: Eukaryota; Metazoa; Chordata; Mammalia; Artiodactyla; Bovidae
Exons: 4
Source: RefSeq, a predicted model, not a curated record
CUUAACUCCUAGACCAGAGAUCGAACCUCCACUCCCUGCACUGGAAGGCGAAGUCUUAACCACUGGACCGCCAGGGAAGUCCCUUGGCUGUACGGCUUUAGACAAGUCGCUACACAUCUAUGACCUCACACAUUUUUUUCUUUGUUUAAAAAACUGUUUAUUUAUUUGGCUGCCUUGGUUGCAACACGUGGGAUCUUUGUUGCAUCAUGCAGGACCUUCUCUUACAGUGCCUGGACUCUCUAGUUGAGGCACAUGGGCUCAUAAUUUCAGCUCAUAAACUUCGUUAUUCCUUGCAAUGUGGAAUCUUAGUUACCUGACCAGGUAUCAAAAUUGCAUCCCCUGCAUUCCUGCUGCUGCUGCUGCAAAGUUGCUUCAGUUGUGUCCGACUCUGUGCAACCCCAUAGACGACAGCCCACCAGGCUCCCCCGUCCAUGGGAUUCUCCAGAUUUCAAGAAGGCUGCUGUGCCUCUGUCCAUCACAUCUGUGUUCCAGGCAGAACAUGAAGCCUUCAGGGAAGUCUACAGCUGAAGGGCUUACGGUCCUCACGUGCUCUGGAAACCCACCCGGCUGCUCCGUGGAGGUUGCACCACUGAUUUAGGUGGAAGUGGCACCUCCUCCCGCCCCUCACGGCGGAGUCUCCGCCCAGUCACAACCAACAGCGUGGACCCUGGCCCUGUCCGCGCACCAGGCUCCCUUGAAAGUGAAAGCGCCUGGCGUUCCUUCCUACUUCGUCU